UAGGGAAUCUUCCGCAAUGGGCGAAAGCCUGACGGAGCAACGCCGCGUGAGUGAUGAAGGCCUUCGGAUUGUAAAACUCUGUUAUUAGGGAAGAACAAAUGUGUAAGUAACUAUGCACGUCUUGACGGUACCUAAUCAGAAAGCCACGGCUAACUACGUGCCAGCAGCCGCGGUAAUACGUAGGUGGCAAGCGUUAUCCGGAAUUAUUGGGCGUAAAGCGCGCGUAGGCGGUUUUUUAAGUCUGAUGUGAAAGCCCACGGCUCAACCGUGGAGGGUCAUUGGAGACUGGAAAACUUGAGUGCAGAAGAGGAAAGUGGAAUUCCAUGUGUAGCGGUGAAAUGCGCAGAGAUAUGGAGGAACACCAGUGGCGAAGGCGACUUUCUGGUCUGUAACUGACGCUGAUGUGCGAAAGCGUGGGGAUCAAACAGG
RNAcentral lists this ribosomal RNA (429 nucleotides) under Actinomycetes bacterium. RNAcentral's name for it is "Actinobacteria bacterium partial 16S ribosomal RNA". It matches the Rfam family "Bacterial small subunit ribosomal RNA", at positions 355 to 776 of the family's 1533-position model. The record is from RNAcentral. Lineage: Bacteria; Bacillati; Actinomycetota; Actinomycetes.